AAGAUUAAACUGAAGAGUUUGAUCAUGGCUCAGAUUGAACGCUGGCGGCAGGCUUAACACAUGCAAGUCGAGCGGAAACGAUGGGAGCUUGCUCCCAGGCGUCGAGCGGCGGACGGGUGAGUAACGCGUAGGAAUCUACCCAGUAGAGGGGGAUAGCCCGAGGAAACUCGGAUUAAUACCGCAUACGCCCUAAGGGGGAAAGGCCGGGAUCUUCGGACCGGUCACUAUUGGAUGAGCCUGCGUAAGAUUAGCUAGUUGGUACGGUAAAGGCCUACCAAGGCGACGAUCUUUAGCUGGUCUGAGAGGAUGAUCAGCCACACUGGGACUGAGACACGGCCCAGACUCCUACGGGAGGCAGCAGUAGGGAAUAUUGGACAAUG
RNAcentral lists this ribosomal RNA (380 nucleotides) under Gammaproteobacteria bacterium. RNAcentral describes it as "bacterial SSU rRNA". It matches the Rfam family "Bacterial small subunit ribosomal RNA", at positions 1 to 373 of the family's 1533-position model. The record is from RNAcentral. Lineage: Bacteria; Pseudomonadati; Pseudomonadota; Gammaproteobacteria.